This 301-nucleotide ribosomal RNA is filed under the name uncultured bacterium. RNAcentral describes it as "partial 16S ribosomal RNA". It matches the Rfam family "Bacterial small subunit ribosomal RNA", at positions 509 to 807 of the family's 1533-position model. The record is from RNAcentral.
CAGCAGCCGCGGUAAUACGUAGGUGGCAAGCGUUGUCCGGAAUUAUUGGGCGUAAAGCGCGCGCAGGCGGUUUCUUAAGUCUGAUGUGGAAGCCCCCGGCUCAACCGGGGAGGGUCAUUGGAAACUGGGAAACUUGAGUGCAGAAGAGGAGAGUGGAAUUCCACGUGUAGCGGUGAAAUGCGUAGAGAUGUGGAGGAACACCAGCGGCGAAGGCGACUCUCUGGUCUGUAACUGACGCUGAGGAGCGAAAGCGUGGGGAGCGAACAGGAUUAGAUACCCGCGUAGUCCCUGUCUCUUAUAC